RNAcentral lists this transfer RNA (75 nucleotides) under Trichonephila inaurata madagascariensis. RNAcentral's name for it is "tRNA-Ile". The record is from RNAcentral. Lineage: Eukaryota; Metazoa; Arthropoda; Arachnida; Araneae; Nephilidae.
UCCCAAGUGGCGCAAUUGGUUAGCGCUUGCGGUACUUAUAAUGCCGAGGUUGUGAGCUCAGUCUCACCUGGGGAA